RNAcentral lists this transfer RNA (73 nucleotides) under Erinaceus europaeus (western European hedgehog). RNAcentral describes it as "tRNA-Tyr (GTA) (tRNA-Tyr-GTA-8-1)". It matches the Rfam family "tRNA". Rfam says of the family: Transfer RNA (tRNA) molecules are approximately 80 nucleotides in length. Their secondary structure includes four short double-helical elements and three loops (D, anti-codon, and T loops). The record is from RNAcentral. Lineage: Eukaryota; Metazoa; Chordata; Mammalia; Eulipotyphla; Erinaceidae.
CCUUCGGUAGCUCAGCUGGCAGAGCGGAGGACUGUAGAUCCUUAGGUCGCUGGUUCGAUUCCGGCUCGAAGGA